CUGCGGAAGACAUUGUCGAAACCUGCCCAGCAGAGAGACUAGCGAAUCGGUUCCAACACCUUCGGGGGCCAGGGUCGCAACCGCGCUCUGGACCCACCACGCCGGGUUCGUGUGGCCCCGGCCCGCGAGCUCGGUUUCUAACAAACCCCGGCGCGGAAUGCGUCAAGGAAGAAUAAUGUAACGAGACUGUCCGUCGUGGUCCCGGGAACGGUGCAUGCCACGACGGUCGCCUCGUGAACGGUUAUAGUACAAAACGACUCUCGGCAACGGAUAUCUCGGCUCUCGCAUCGAUGAAGAACGUAGCGAAAUGCGAUACUUGGUGUGAAUUGCAGGAUCCCGUGAACCAUCGAGUCUUUGAACGCAAGUUGCGCCCAAAGCCAUCAGGCCUAGGGCACGUCUGCCUGGGCGUCACACACCGUCGCCCCCCAACCCCUCGUCAACCAAGACGGAUGCGGGGGGAACGCGGAGGGCGUAAGAUGGCCUCCCGUGUGCGAACGUCUCGCGGUUGGCCAAAAAUCGUAGUCCGCGGUCACGUCGUCGUGGCAACAGGUGGUUGUCGAUCGGUCGGUGCCCCCGGCCACGCACGACGUGCAGCCUUCGAGACUCGAGACAGAACCCCACGCACMUUACGGGUGCUCGAAUGCGACCCCAGUCAGGCG
This 659-nucleotide ribosomal RNA is filed under the name Parartocarpus venenosus. RNAcentral describes it as "eukaryotic LSU rRNA". The stretch from base 256 to 411 matches the Rfam family "5.8S ribosomal RNA". Lineage: Eukaryota; Viridiplantae; Streptophyta; Magnoliopsida; Rosales; Moraceae. The record is from RNAcentral.